CGGGACGGACGCACCGCUGGUGUACCAGUUGUUUCGCCAGGAGCACCGCUGAGUAGCCAAGUGCGGAAGGGAUAAGCGCUGAAAGCAUCUAAGCGCGAAGCCCGCCCCGAGAUGAGAUUUCCCACUCCGUCAAGGAGGUAAGACCCCUGGGAGAACACCAGGUCGAUAGGCCCGGGGUGGAAGCGCGGCAACGCGUGGAGCUGACGGGUACUAAUCGGUCGAGGGCUUAUCCUU
RNAcentral lists this non-coding RNA (234 nucleotides) under Bacillus thermozeamaize. RNAcentral describes it as "partial 23S ribosomal RNA". It matches the Rfam family "Bacterial large subunit ribosomal RNA", at positions 2693 to 2925 of the family's 2925-position model. The record is from RNAcentral. Lineage: Bacteria; Bacillati; Bacillota; Bacilli; Caryophanales; Bacillaceae.